RNAcentral lists this non-coding RNA (63 nucleotides) under unclassified sequences. RNAcentral describes it as "cow-rumen-1 RNA". It matches the Rfam family "cow-rumen-1 RNA". Rfam says of the family: cow rumen metagenome. Environment (Cow rumen (57)) The record is from Rfam by way of RNAcentral.
UCAUUGGUCGCUGCAGUUAGAAAGUUUGGCAGCGUAAACCCAGCACCGGACAUGACGAAGAGG